AAAUUACAAGUAUAUUUUUAAUGCUAUAUUCAAAAUUACACUACUAUAUAUUAAUUCUAUCUCGUUUCUCAUAUAUCAAAUUAUAUUUCAUUAUUAUAUCCAAGAGCAAAAUUGCCAUCUUGCUUAAUUUUUGUCAAUCUAAUAUCUUAUUCUAAUAUAAAUAUUCAAACACUAUAAGGGCGCGUUUGGUUCGAGUUAUAUAAUAUUACAGAGUAUUUCAAUAUAUCCAGAUAUCUUGCAUUUCUAAAUAAGAUUAUUACUGAUAUUGCAUUAGUGCGUUCGAUUUAAUACAGUAAUAUAAUACUGGAUUGCAUUGUUUAUAUCACUACUAUGUUUGGUUCACUCUAUAAAAUUCAGCAAUCUUGACUAUAAAGUAUAAUCUAUUCUAAAAUUGUCCUUAGCCAUAUUUGGCAAACUUUCUUUACUCUUUACUAAUAUAAUAUUUUUUUAUUAAAUUUUAUUUUAAAUAAUUUAAAAUUUUAAAAUUUUAAAUUUAAACAAAAUAUAAAAUUUAAUAUUUUAAUUUAAAAUAUAAAUAUGAAAUUUAUAAAUUUAAAAUCUAAAAUAUAAAUGUAAAUUAAAAUUUAAAAUUUAAGAUUUAAAAUCUAAAUUCAAAAUUUAAAAUUUAAUCUAAAUUUAAAAUUUAAAAAAUUUGAAUUUUAAAAUUUAAAUUUUAAGAUUUAAAAUUAAUUAAAUUUAAAAUUUAAAAAUUAAAAUUUAUAUUUAAUUUUGAAUUUAAAUUUAAAUUAAAAUUUAAAAUUUAAAAUUUAUUUGAAAUUUGAAAUUUGAAGUUUAAAAAUUUAAAUUUUAAAAUUCAAAAUUUUAAAUUUGAAAACUAAAAAUUAAAAUUAAAAUUUAAAAUUUAAAAAUUGACAAUUCAAAAUUUAAAAUUUGAAAUUUGAAGUUCAAAAUUUAAAAUUUAAAAUUUUAGAUUUAAAUUUAAAAUUUAAAAUUUAAUUUUAAAAUUUAAUUUUCAAAUUUAAAAUUUAAAAUUUAAAAUUUUAAUUUAUAUUUACAAUUUAAAAUUUAAAAUUUAAAAUUUAAAAUUUGAAAUUUAAAAUUUGAAGUUUAAAAAUUUAAAAUUUAGAAUUGGAAAUUUUAAAUUUAAAAAUUAAAAAUUUAAAAUUUAAAUUUAAAAUUAAAAAUUUAAAAAUUUAUAAUUGAAAAUUUUAAAUUAAAAUUUUUAAAAUUAUGUAUUGAAAGGAUUUCGGAAGAUGGAGGGGUAAACUUGUAAUUUUAUAUAACAUGUAAGAUUUGCCGUUUUCGGUAAUCCAAGAUACAUACCCCCCUCUCGAUAUUUUUGGUGUAAUCUUAUACCUUUUGUAAUGUGACAACACCAAACAGAUUGUAUACCGAAUGAACAAAAACGUAGUAAUCCUGCCAGGAUUAUUUGUAAUCCUGCCAAGAUAACCCGAACCAAAUGCAAAGGAAUAUCCUUCAAAAACAAAUAAACAACACGCAAACUUAUUUCAGAUUAUCCUAAAAUGUCUCCUAUUCUAAAAAGUAAUACAAAUUAUUUUCUAAAAUUUAGUUCUUGAAUCAAACACAACCUU
Molecule: long non-coding RNA, 1553 nt
Filed under: Ananas comosus (pineapple)
Lineage: Eukaryota; Viridiplantae; Streptophyta; Magnoliopsida; Poales; Bromeliaceae
Description: long non-coding RNA (ACOM_LNC006951)
Source: RNAcentral